Long non-coding RNA from Hordeum vulgare subsp. vulgare (domesticated barley), 684 nucleotides. RefSeq lists it as uncharacterized. NCBI's taxonomy places the organism in Eukaryota, Viridiplantae, Streptophyta, Magnoliopsida, Poales, Poaceae. The transcript has 2 exons. The record is from RefSeq and is a predicted model, not a curated record.
CCAUCACCACUAUAUAUAUAAGUCUCCAUCAUUGUACAUAGGAUCAUCUCCUCUUUGGCACCCUCUCCUCCACGAUUAUGGUAAUCUCAUACAGGUUGACGACCUCAAGGAGAGUGAUGGCGUCGCCACCAUUUCCUGUCAUCCCUCGUCCCAUCACCCCCCAAUUAACAGGCAUGAAAAAAUUGAGCUGCUUGUACGCCAGUUUGCCAACACCGCUGAAUUUUGUUUGUCGUUCAUGAGGUUUAUUCUAUACACAGGAACUUGACAUUUCGUCGCGUCCAGAUGGAGCAUAUAUACCAGAAUUGUUGGACCAUUCGUGCAAUGGUCCAAUGGAAGGCACAAAUCAAAGAGAAUUCCAUGGGAAACAUAUACCUUCAAUGCAUACUACUGGAUCAGGAAGGGACAAAAAUGGAAGCCAUUGCGUUCAACAAUCAAGUUGUUCGUUUCAACACCAUUCUUCAAACCGACAUGUCCUAUGAAUUCACUCGUGUAGGAUUUAACCCCACUGAAAUGGCAGUUGUACAUUUCUUGUAUCUAGACAUGGAGUUUAUCAUGACACUAGAUAGUAGGACUGUGGUUAUGAUUUCGGCGCACAGGAUAUCAACGACAAUUUGUCCAUUGUGUUUCCCACAAUUUGGGGCCAUCUACUCACUACAAGACAAACGCAUAACUGGUGCAUUUUUU